AGUGGCGGACGGGUGAGUAACACGUGGGUAACCUGCCCUUAAGUGGGGGAUAACAUUUGGAAACAGAUGCUAAUACCGCAUAGAUCCAAGAACCGCAUGGUUCUUGGCUGAAAGAUGGCGUAAGCUAUCGCUUUUGGAUGGACGCGCGGCGUAUUAGCUAGUUGGUGAGGUAAUGGCUCACCAAGGCGAUGAUACGUAGCCGAACUGAGAGGUUGAUCGGCCACAUUGGGACUGAGACACGGCCCAAACUCCUACGGGAGGCAGCAGUAGGGAAUCUUCCACAAUGGACGCAAGUCUGAUGGAGCAACGCCGCGUGAGUGAAGAAGGCUUUCGGGUCGUAAAACUCUGUUGUUGGAGAAGAAUGGUCGGCAGAGUAACUGUUGUCGGCGUGACGGUAUCCAACCAGAAAGCCACGGCUAACUACGUGCCAGCAGCCGCGGUAAUACGUAGGUGGCAAGCGUUAUCCGGAUUUAUUGGGCGUAAAGCGAGCGCAGGCG
This 497-nucleotide ribosomal RNA is filed under the name Lacticaseibacillus casei. Its description in RNAcentral is "bacterial SSU rRNA". It matches the Rfam family "Bacterial small subunit ribosomal RNA", at positions 94 to 577 of the family's 1533-position model. Lineage: Bacteria; Bacillati; Bacillota; Bacilli; Lactobacillales; Lactobacillaceae. The record is from RNAcentral.